CAGAUUGCAGGCUGCAACUCGCCUGCAUGAAGUCGGAAUCGCUAGUAAUCGCGGAUCAGCAUGCCGCGGUGAAUACGUUCCCGGGCCUUGUACACACCGCCCGUCACACCAUGAGAGUUUGUAACACCCAAAGCCGGUGGGGUAACCUUUUGGAGCCAGCCGUCUAAGGUGGGACAGAUGAUUGGGGUGAAGUCGUAACAAGGUAGC
This 207-nucleotide ribosomal RNA is filed under the name uncultured bacterium. RNAcentral's name for it is "partial 16S ribosomal RNA". It matches the Rfam family "Bacterial small subunit ribosomal RNA", at positions 1294 to 1500 of the family's 1533-position model. The record is from RNAcentral.